GACGAACCGAGCGAACGUUGUUCGGAAUCACUGGGCUUAAAGGGCGCGUAGGCGGGCUGUCAAGUCUGGGGUGAAAUCCCGCGGCUCAACCGUGGAACUGCCUUAGAUACUGACGGCCUCGAGGGAGAUAGGGGCGAGCGGAACUGUGAGUGGAGCGGUGAAAUGCGUUGAUAUUCACAGGAACUCCGGUGGCGAAGGCGGCUCGCUGGAUCUCUUCUGACGCUGAGGCGCGAAAGCUAGGGGAGCGAACGGG
This 253-nucleotide ribosomal RNA is filed under the name uncultured bacterium. RNAcentral's name for it is "partial 16S ribosomal RNA". It matches the Rfam family "Bacterial small subunit ribosomal RNA", at positions 524 to 776 of the family's 1533-position model. The record is from RNAcentral.